GGCGACGAUCAGUAGCCGGCCUGAGAGGGUGAACGGCCACAUUGGGACUGAGACACGGCCCAAACUCCUACGGGAGGCAGCAGUGGGGAAUAUUGGACAAUGGGGGGAACCCUGAUCCAGCGACGCCGCGUGAGUGAAGAAGUAUUUCGGUAUGUAAAGCUCUAUCAGCAGGGAAGAAAGAAAUGACGGUACCUGACUAAGAAGCCCCGGCUAACUACGUGCCAGCAGCCGCGGUAAUACGUAGGGGGCAAGCGUUAUCCGGAUUUACUGGGUGUAAAGGGAGCGUAGACGGCGAUGCAAGUCUGAAGUGAAAGGCGGGGGCCCAACCCCCGGACUGCUUUGGAAACUGUAUGGCUGGAGUGCAGGAGAGGUAAGUGGAAUUCCUAGUGUAGCGGUGAAAUGCGUAGAUAUUAGGAGGAACACCAGUGGCGAAGGCGGCUUACUGGACUGUAACUGACGUUGAGGCUCGAAAGCGUGGGGAGCAAACAGGAUUAGAUACCCUGGUAGUCCACGCCGUAAACGAUGAUCACUAGGUGUCGGUGGGUAUGGACCCAUCG
RNAcentral lists this ribosomal RNA (557 nucleotides) under uncultured bacterium. RNAcentral's name for it is "bacterial SSU rRNA". It matches the Rfam family "Bacterial small subunit ribosomal RNA", at positions 272 to 842 of the family's 1533-position model. The record is from RNAcentral.